RNAcentral lists this ribosomal RNA (434 nucleotides) under uncultured bacterium. Its description in RNAcentral is "partial 16S ribosomal RNA". It matches the Rfam family "Bacterial small subunit ribosomal RNA", at positions 29 to 507 of the family's 1533-position model. The record is from RNAcentral.
AGCGAACGCUGGCGGCAGGCCUAACACAUGCAAGUCGAACGAACCUUUCGGGGUUAGUGGCGGACGGGUGAGUAACACGUGGGAACGUGCCUUUAGGUUCGGAAUAACUCAGGGAAACUUGUGCUAAUACCGAAUGUGCCCUUCGGGGGUAAGAUUUAUCGCCUUUAGAGCGGCCCGCGUCUGAUUAGCUAGUUGGGUGAGGUAAUGGCUCACCAAGGCGACGAUCAGUAGCUGGUCUGAGAGGAUGAUCAGACACAUUGGGACUGAGACACGGCCCAAACUCCGACGGGAGGCAGCAGUGGGGAAUCUUGCGCGAUGGGCGAAAGCGUGACGCAGCCAUGCCGCGUGAAUGAUGAAGGUCUUAGGAUUGUAAAAUUCUUUCACCGGAGACGAUAAUGACGGUAACCGGAGAAGAAGCCCCGGCUAACUUCGUG